AACGAACGCUGGCGGCAUGCCUAACACAUGCAAGUCGAACGAGACCUUCGGGUCUAGUGGCGCACGGGUGCGUAACGCGUGGGAACCUGCCCUUAGGUUCGGAAUAACUCCCCGAAAGGGGUGCUAAUACCGGAUAAUGUCUUCGGACCAAAGAUUUAUCGCCUUUGGAUGGGCCCGCGUUGGAUUAGCUAGUUGGUAGGGUAAAAGCCUACCAAGGCGACGAUCCAUAGCUGGUCUGAGAGGAUGAUCAGCCACACUGGGACUGAGACACGGCCCAGACUCCUACGGGAGGCAGCAGUGGGGAAUAUUGGACAAUGGGCGAAAGCCGGAUCCAGCAAUGCCGCGGGAGUGAUGAAGGCCUUAGGGUGGUAAAGCUCUUUUACCCGGGAUGAUAAGGACAGGACCGGGAGAAUAAGCUCCGGCGAACUCCGU
This 432-nucleotide ribosomal RNA is filed under the name uncultured bacterium. Its description in RNAcentral is "partial 16S ribosomal RNA". It matches the Rfam family "Bacterial small subunit ribosomal RNA", at positions 29 to 506 of the family's 1533-position model. The record is from RNAcentral.